GACGAACGCUGGCGGCGUGCUUAACACAUGCAAGUCGAACGGAAAGGCCCUGCUUGCAGGGUGCUCGAGUGGCGAACGGGUGAGUAACACGUGGGUGAUCUGCCCCUUACUUUGGGAUAAGCCUGGGAAACUGGGUCUAAUACUGGAUAGGACCAUGCUGUAGGUGGUGUGGUGGAAAGAUAAGUUUCGGUUUGGGAUGAGCUCGCGGCCUAUCAGCUUGUAGGUGGGGUAAUGGCCUACCAAGGCGUCGACGGGUAGCCGGCCUGAGUGGGUGGGAGGCCCGAUCGGGACUGCGACGGGGGCCAGAAGUCGGAGGGAGGCCGCAAUGGGGGAUAGUGCGACAGGGGCGCGAGGCUGGAGCAGCGAAGGCCUUCGGAGGAUGACGGCCUUCUGGUUGUAAACUCCUUUCAGCCAUGACGAAGCCCUUGUGGUGACGGUAGUGGUAGAAGAAGCACCGGCUAACUACGUG
This 469-nucleotide ribosomal RNA is filed under the name uncultured bacterium. RNAcentral describes it as "partial 16S ribosomal RNA". It matches the Rfam family "Bacterial small subunit ribosomal RNA", at positions 28 to 507 of the family's 1533-position model. The record is from RNAcentral.